RNAcentral lists this ribosomal RNA (425 nucleotides) under uncultured bacterium. Its description in RNAcentral is "partial 16S ribosomal RNA". It matches the Rfam family "Bacterial small subunit ribosomal RNA", at positions 354 to 796 of the family's 1533-position model. The record is from RNAcentral.
GUUAGGAAUAUUGGACAAUGGGCGAAAGCCUGAUCCAGCCAUGCCGCGUGAACGAUGAAGGCCUUCGGGUUGUAAAGUUCUUUAGCCGAUGAUUAUAAUGACUGUAGUCGGAAAAUAAGCCCCGGCUAACUUCGUGCCAGCAGCCGCGGUAAUACGAAGGGGGCGAGCGUUAUUCGGAAUCACUGGGCGUAAAGCGUGCGUAGGCGGUUUUGUAAGUUAGGAGUGAAAGCCCAGGGCUCAACCUUGGAAUUGCUCUUAAAACUGCAAGGCUCGAAUCUCGGAGAGGAUAGCGGAAUUUCCAGUGUAGCAGUGAAAUGCGUAGAUAUUGGAAGGAACACCAGUGGCGUAAGCGGCUAUCUGGACGAGUAGUGACGCUGAGGCACGAAAGCGUGGGGAUCAAACAGGAUUAGAAACCCGGGUAGUCC